RNAcentral lists this ribosomal RNA (450 nucleotides) under uncultured bacterium. Its description in RNAcentral is "bacterial SSU rRNA". It matches the Rfam family "Bacterial small subunit ribosomal RNA", at positions 354 to 796 of the family's 1533-position model. The record is from RNAcentral.
GUGGGGAAUAUUGGACAAUGGGCGAAAGCCUGAUCCAGCCAUGCCGCGUGUGUGAAGAAGGUCUUCGGAUUGUAAAGCACUUUAAGUUGGGAGGAAGGGCAGUAAGUUAAUACCUUGCUGUUUUGACGUUACCGACAGAAUAAGCACCGGCUAACUUCGUGCCAGCAGCCGCGGUAAUACGAAGGGUGCAAGCGUUAAUCGGAAUUACUGGGCGUAAAGCGCGCGUAGGUGGUUUUGUAAGUUGGAGGUGAAAUCCCCGGGCUCAACCUGGGAACUGACUCCAAAACUGCAUGACUAGAGUACGGUAGAGGGUAGUGGAAUGUCCUGUGUAGCGGUGAAAUGCGUAGAUAUAGGAAGGAACACCAGUGGCGAAGGCGACUACCUGGACUGAUACUGACACUGAGGUGCGAAAGCGUGGGGAGCAAACAGGAUUAGAUACCCUAGUAGUCC